UAAAAAUUUAAUUUUAGUUUAAUAAUUAAUGAAUUUUUUUUAUAAAUUAUUAAUAUUUUUAAUUUAUUUAUAUUAUAUAUAAAUAUGUGUGUUAAUUGAAUUUUGAAAAUUUAAUAAUUUUAAUAUUUAAUUUUAAAUAUUAAUGAAAAUUAUAUUUAGAAUAAAAUUUAAUUAAUAAUUAAAAUUGUGCCAGCAAUUGCGGUUAAACAAUUAUUGAAAAUUAAUUUAUUUAAUUUGAAUUAAGAUAUUUAUAUAUUAUUUAAAAAUAAUAUAAAUUUUAGGUUAAAUUAAAAUUUAUAUUUAAAUUUAAUUUUUUUAAUGAUGAUUUUAUAAAUUUUUUUAGAAACUAGGAUUAGAUACCCUAUUAUUAAAAUUAAAAUAUAAAAAUUUAGGUAUUAAAUGUUAAGUCACUAAACUUAAAAAAUUUGGCGGUUUAUAAUUCUAAUUAGAGGAAUUUGUUUAUUAAUUGAUAUUACACGUUAAGAAAAACUUUAAUUUUAAGUUUAUAUAUUGCUGUUAUAAAAAAAUUUAAUUUUAAUAUUUUUUAAAUUUAAUAUUUAUUUAUAUAUAAAAAAAUUCAGGUCAAAAUAUAGCUUUAUUUAAGUUUAAAUGAGUUACAAUUAAAAUUUAAUUAUUGGAUUAUUUAAUUUAAUUUUAAUUAUAAAAUUGGAUUUAAAAGUAAAUUUAAUUAAUUUAUUAAAUUGAAAUAGUUUUUAUAUAUGUACAUAUUGCCCGUCAUUUUCAUUAUAAAGUGAAACAAGUCGUAACAAAGUAAAUGUACUGGAAAGUGUAUUUAGAUU
This 800-nucleotide non-coding RNA is filed under the name Xorides funiuensis. The record is from RNAcentral. Lineage: Eukaryota; Metazoa; Arthropoda; Insecta; Hymenoptera; Ichneumonidae.